UACGGAGGGGGCUAGCGUUGUUCGGAAUUACUGGGCGUAAAGCGCACGUAGGCGGCUUUGCAAGUUAGAGGUGAAAGCCCGGAGCUUAACUCCGGAAUUGCCUUUAAAACUGCAUCGCUAGAAUUGUGGAGAGGUGAGUGGAAUUCCGAGUGUAGAGGUGAAAUUCGUAGGUAUUCGGAAGAACACCAGUGGCGAAGGCGACUCACUGGACACAUAUUGACGCUGAGGUGCGAAAGCGUGGGGAGCAAACAGG
RNAcentral lists this ribosomal RNA (253 nucleotides) under uncultured bacterium. RNAcentral's name for it is "partial 16S ribosomal RNA". It matches the Rfam family "Bacterial small subunit ribosomal RNA", at positions 524 to 776 of the family's 1533-position model. The record is from RNAcentral.